This 1616-nucleotide long non-coding RNA is filed under the name Brassica napus (rape). RNAcentral describes it as "long non-coding RNA (BNAP_LNC021909)". Lineage: Eukaryota; Viridiplantae; Streptophyta; Magnoliopsida; Brassicales; Brassicaceae. The record is from RNAcentral.
UUGUAACGACCCGGUUUUCUUUAACCGUUUUUGGUUUAAUUAUUAAUAUUAAACCAACACUUAUCCACCUCCUCUUAUAACCUAAACGUGUAUGCAUGUAUUGAUAUAUUUAUCUCCUUCCACAAAUCUCAGCCGCCAUUGAUAUCAUCGUGUGAGACUAAGCAACAUUUUGCACCAGCUUCCUCUUCUCUCUCAUGUUGUCUUUACUUUUAUCCUUUACUCGUGUUCCUCUGGAUCUCUUGCAAAGAAGAUACGCCAUCGUUCAUCACAAACCACCACUCGUUAGUUUGAUCCGUUGCGUGCCAUCACCACCGCCCACAUGAGUCACCACCGGAGUGGUCAAAGCCUUGAGUCAUCUCUGUACAACGGAGAUCCAUGCCUUGAUCGCCGCCGUCUUCAUCACCACCAUCGCCAACCACCACCAAAAUCAUAGACGUCAUCACCAGAGCCGUCGUCACGCCACUGACGUAGCCUCAUUGUCAUAGAUCCAUCGAUGUACCAUGUUUCCAGUUCACGUCGGAUCCGUUCCAUGGAGAACGUGAGCAAGCCAGGACCUAGAAGGAGAAAGUGAGACGCGAGUCGUUGCGUCUCGGAACCAACGACCACCGAUCUGCGCGGCCAUGAACCGUUAGCCAUCGGAGAGCUGAACCGUGUACACUGGAGAUCGUGGGCCUUUGAAGCGUGGCUAUGUCUGAGAAGGUUAAGUGUAUCAUUAGUUGUUUCUUGUGAUACAAGAAACAUAUCUAACGUGCACUUUUAUCAUGGCAUUCGUAGGAAGCAAACAUGGACCUUAUGGGUGACUUGUUCGCCAAGUCAUUCUCUCUAAAGCGUAGAUCGAGUUUGUUGUACAAGCAAUAUCAGUUCCCGAGAAUUCCCCGAUUAAUUCCCGAUAUUGGCUAAUGUGAGGGUAUUUUCCCGAAUUUCUCUUACACGGCUUAUGACCUCGAAUAAGUAUAAUUUUUUUGUAAUGUGUUUCCGCUUGUGUGAAAUCGAGUCUAUUAUUGCUUGUUUAGUUUUUAGGUUCUUUGCUUAAACCGGAAGUAGGGUGUUAGAGGAUUCAACAAUGAUUGUCUCAUUUAAAAUUGUUAAAUAAAAAUAGUUGUUUUAUUAGGAGUUAUAUGAUUGUCUGAGAUGGAUACAGAGACGGACUUCUGUAUGCCGGAUUGUUUGGAGGUUACGGUCAGCUAUAGUCGACCGGUUGACGCGUAACCCAGGAGGUCGAUAAAUCGUCUACGGGCGCGUGUUACCGAGCACUUGUUCGGUGUGUGUAUGAACCGAGCACCUUUUCGGUAGUGUUUUGGCCUGUUAGUGGGCAGCGAGUGUGCACCUCGCUAGGACUGUUGUGUGAUCUUUGGGUACUUUAGGUACCGUGUUUGCAACGUGUUAGGAUUAAAUUAUAUUUAUUCGGAGUGCUCUGUCCGGGUCCAUGGACUUCGGGUUUAGUAUCCCAUACCUCACUGAGUGACUUCCCCGUUACUCACCCCUCAUUUGCCCCUUGCAGGUGAGACAGAUGAGUAUAUGAUAUUUGGACGGAUUUGGUGCUACUGAGCUUUUUAUUCGGAUUUUAUUGGGCUUUGGGUGAGUGUAAUUGGGUAUAUGGGCUUUUAUUAUACGAG